GAUGAAGAACGCAGCGAAAUGCGAUAAGUAAUGUGAAUUGCAGAAUUCAGUGAAUCAUCGAAUCUUUGAACGCACAUUGCGCCCGCCAGUAUUCUGGCGGGCAUGCCUGUUCGAGCGUCAUUUCAACCCUCAGGCCCCCAGUGCCUGGCGUUGGGGAUCGGCGCGGCGCCCUCCGGGGCGCUGCCGGCCCCGAAAUUCAGUGGCGGUCUCGCUGUAGCCCUCCUCCGCGUAGUAGCACAACCUCGCGGCCUGGAGCUCGGCGGUGGCCAUGCCGUAAAACACCCCACUUCUGAAAGUUGACCUCGGAUCAGGUAGGAAUACCCGCUGAACUUAAGCAUAUCAUAAGCGGAGGA
Molecule: unclassified non-coding RNA, 353 nt
Filed under: soil metagenome
Description: partial contains 5.8S ribosomal RNA, internal transcribed spacer 2, and large subunit ribosomal RNA
Rfam family: 5.8S ribosomal RNA (bases 1-120)
Source: RNAcentral